Molecule: ribosomal RNA, 253 nt
Filed under: uncultured bacterium
Lineage: Bacteria
Description: partial 16S ribosomal RNA
Rfam family: Bacterial small subunit ribosomal RNA
Source: RNAcentral
UACGAGAGGUCCAAGCGUUAGUCGGAAUCACUGGGCUUAAAGGGUGCGUAGGCGGGCCCGUAAGUGUCUUGUGAAAGCCCCCUGCUCAACCGGGGAACCGCAGGGCAUACUGCGGGCCUCGAGGAAUCUAGAGGCCGGCGGAACGAUAGGUGGAGCGGUGGAAUGCGUAGAGAUCUAUCGGAACGCCAAAGGUGAAGACAGCCGGCUGGGGAUUUCCUGACGCUGAGGCACGAAAGCGUGGGGAGCAAACAGG